This 293-nucleotide ribosomal RNA is filed under the name uncultured bacterium. RNAcentral describes it as "partial 16S ribosomal RNA". It matches the Rfam family "Bacterial small subunit ribosomal RNA", at positions 775 to 1067 of the family's 1533-position model. The record is from RNAcentral.
GGAUUAGAUACCCUGGUAGUCCACGCCGUAAACGAUGUCUGUUAGCCGUUGGGAGAUUUAAUCUUUUAGUGGCGCAGCUAACGCGAUAAGCAGACCGCCUGGGGAGUACGGUCGCAAGAUUAAAACUCAAAUGAAUUGACGGGGGCCCGCACAAGCGGUGGAGCAUGUGGUUUAAUUCGAAGCAACGCGAAGAACCUUACCUACUCUUGACAUCCAGAGAACUUUCCAGAGAUGGAUUGGUGCCUUCGGGAACUCUGAGACAGGUGCUGCAUGGCUGUCGUCAGCUCGUGCUG